RNAcentral lists this ribosomal RNA (497 nucleotides) under uncultured bacterium. Its description in RNAcentral is "partial 16S ribosomal RNA". It matches the Rfam family "Bacterial small subunit ribosomal RNA", at positions 28 to 507 of the family's 1533-position model. The record is from RNAcentral.
GACGAACGCUGGCGGCGUGCCUAAUACAUGCAAGUUGGGCGCUGAAGGUUGGUACUUGUACCAACUGGAUGAGCAGCGAACGGGUGAGUAACGCGUGGGGAAUCUGCCUUUGAGCGGGGGACAACAUUUGGAAACGAAUGCUAAUACCGCAUAAAAACUUUAAACACAAGUUUUAAGUUUGAAAGAUGCAAUUGCAUCACUCAAAGAUGAUCCCGCGUUGUAUUAGCUAGUUGGUGAGGUAAAGGCUCACCAAGGCGAUGAUACAUAGCCGACCUGAGAGGGUGAUCGGCCACAUUGGGACUGAGACACGGCCCAAACGCCUACGGGAGGCAGCAGUAGGGAAUCUUCGGCAAUGGACGAAAGUCUGACCGAGCAACGCCGCGUGAGUGAAGAAGGUUUUCGGAUCGUAAAACUCUGUUGGUAGAGAAGAACGUUGGUGAGAGUGGAAAGCUCAUCAAGUGACGGUAACUACCCAGAAAGGGACGGCUAACUACGUG